This 245-nucleotide ribosomal RNA is filed under the name uncultured bacterium. RNAcentral's name for it is "partial 16S ribosomal RNA". It matches the Rfam family "Bacterial small subunit ribosomal RNA", at positions 524 to 768 of the family's 1533-position model. The record is from RNAcentral.
UACGUAGGUGGCGAGCGUUGUCCGGAAUUAUUGGGCGUAAAGGGCGCGCAGGUGGUUUUUUAAGUCAGAUGUGAAAACUCCGGGCUUAACUCGGAGAUUGCAUUUGAAACUGGAAGACUUGAGGACAGGAGAGGAAAGUGGAAUUCCCAGUGUAGCGGUGAAAUGCGUAGAGAUUGGGAGGAACACCAGUGGCGAAGGCGACUUUCUGGACUGACCCUGACACUGAGGCGCGAAAGCUAGGGGAG